GGGCGCAAGCGUUGUCCGGAAUUAUUGGGCGUAAAGAGCUCGUAGGCGGUCUGUUGCGUCCGCUGUGAAAACUCGGGGCUUAACCCCGAGCCUGCAGUGGAUACGGGCAGACUAGAGGUAGGUAGGGGAGAAUGGAAUUCCCGGUGUAGCGGUGAAAUGCGCAGAUAUCGGGGGGAACACCGGUGGCGAAGGCGGUUCUCUGGGCCUUACCUGACGCUGAGGAGCGAAAGCGUGGGGAGCGAACAGG
Molecule: ribosomal RNA, 247 nt
Filed under: uncultured bacterium
Lineage: Bacteria
Description: partial 16S ribosomal RNA
Rfam family: Bacterial small subunit ribosomal RNA
Source: RNAcentral